RNAcentral lists this ribosomal RNA (501 nucleotides) under uncultured bacterium. Its description in RNAcentral is "partial 16S ribosomal RNA". It matches the Rfam family "Bacterial small subunit ribosomal RNA", at positions 30 to 523 of the family's 1533-position model. The record is from RNAcentral.
AUCGAACGCUGGCGGCAGGCUUAACACAUGCAAGUCGAGCGGGGGAAGGUAGCUUGCUACUGGACCUAGCGGCGGACGGGUGAGUAAUGCUUAGGAAUCUGCCUAUUAGUGGGGGACAACAUCUCGAAAGGGAUGCUAAUACCGCAUACGUCCUACGGGAGAAAGCAGGGGAUCUUCGGACCUUGCGCUAAUAGAUGAGGCUAAGUCGGAUUAGCUAGUUGGUGGGGUAAAGGCCUACCAAGGCGACGAUCUGUAGCGGGUCUGAGAGGAUGAUCCGCCACACUGGGACUGAGACACGGCCCAGACUCCUACGGGAGGCAGCAGUGGGGAAUAUUGGACAAUGGGGGGAACCCUGAUCCAGCCAUGCCGCGUGUGUGAAGAAGGCCUUAUGGUUGUAAAGCACUUUAAGCGAGGAGGAGGCUACUCUAGUUAAUACCUAGGGAUAGUGGACGUUACUCGCAGAAUAAGCACCGGCCAACUCUGUACCAGCAGCCGCGGUAA